GACGAACGCUGGCGGCGUGCCUAAUACAUGCAAGUAGAACGCUGAAGCUUGGUGCUUGCACCGAGCGGAUGAGUUGCGAACGGGUGAGUAACGCGUAGGUAACCUGCCUGGUAGCGGGGGAUAACUAUUGGAAACGAUAGCUAAUACCGCAUAAGAGUAGAUGUUGCAUGACAUUUGCUUAAAAGGUGCAAUUGCAUCACUACCAGAUGAACCUGCGUUGUAUUAGCUAGUUGGUGAGGUAACGGCUCACCAAGGCAACGAUACAUAGCCGACCUGAGAGGGUGAUCGGCCACACUGGGACUGAGACACGGCCCAGACUCCUACGGGAGGCAGCAGUAGGGAAUCUUCGGCAAUGAACGGAAGUCUGACCGAGCAACGCCGCGUGAGUGAAGAAGGUUUUCGGAUCGUAAAGCUCUGUUGUAAGAGAAGAACGAGUGUGAGAGUGGAAAGUUCACACUGUGACGGUAUCUUACCAGAAAGGGACGGCUAACUACGUG
RNAcentral lists this ribosomal RNA (497 nucleotides) under uncultured bacterium. Its description in RNAcentral is "partial 16S ribosomal RNA". It matches the Rfam family "Bacterial small subunit ribosomal RNA", at positions 28 to 507 of the family's 1533-position model. The record is from RNAcentral.